GUUACAGUUCGCAGUUAUCCUCUUUCGCGAAUUAGUUUCUUUCAAAACUUAUAAAUUAAAAAUUUGCAAUAUGUUUAACGCAAAAGUUUUUGUUUUCAUCGCUUUUGUUGUAUAUUCUGUACAAGCAGGUCCCACUUGUCCAGCCCGAGACGGGAAAUAUCCAACCUACAUUCCACACGAUGAUUGCACGAAAUUCUAUGAAUGUUCUAAUGGUCAUCCAUAUUUGUUUGACUGCCCCGAUGGACUACAUUUCAACCCUAACAGAAAUGUUUGCGAUUGGCCCUGGCGUGCAGGAUGUAAAGGAGCAAACAAUUAAUUUCAAUUUUUAUUACAAUUAAAAAUUAAUUUAUAUUUAUUUAUUCUAUUACUAUAACUAUUCUGUUGUUUGAGUAUUUAUUAUCUUUUACAGAGAAGUUAUUAAAACAUAUAUGUAAUAUUUAAAACAGAA
Molecule: long non-coding RNA, 448 nt
Organism: Zophobas morio
Lineage: Eukaryota; Metazoa; Arthropoda; Insecta; Coleoptera; Tenebrionidae
Exons: 2
Source: RefSeq, a predicted model, not a curated record